RNAcentral lists this ribosomal RNA (521 nucleotides) under uncultured bacterium. RNAcentral describes it as "bacterial SSU rRNA". It matches the Rfam family "Bacterial small subunit ribosomal RNA", at positions 34 to 518 of the family's 1533-position model. The record is from RNAcentral.
CGCUGGCGGCGUGCCUAAUACAUGCAAGUCGAGCGCGGGAAGCGGACAAUCACCCUUCGGGGUGUGCGUCCGUGGAACGAGCGGCGGAUGGGUGAGUAUCACGUGGGCAACCUGCCUGUAAGAUUGGGAUAACUCGCGGAAACGUGAGCUAAUACCGAAUGAAGUCUUUCACCGCCUGGUGAAAGGAUGAAAGAUGGCUCUUGAGCUAUCACUUACAGAUGGGCCCGCGGCGCAUUAGCUAGUUGGUGGGGUAAAGGCCUACCAAGGCGACGAUGCGUAGCCGACCUGAGAGGGUGAUCGGCCAUACUGGGACUGAGACACGGCCCAGACUCCUACGGGAGGCAGCAGUAGGGAAUCUUCCGCAAUGGACGAAAGUCUGACGGAGCAACGCCGCGUGAGUUGAUGAAGGUCUUCGGAUCGUAAAACUCUGUUGUCAGGGAAGAACAAGUUGUGUUCUAACAGGACAUGACCUUGACGGUACCUGACCAGAAAGCCCCGGCUAACUACGUGCCAGCCGCUGC